CCUACGGGAGGCUGCAGUGGGGAAUAUUGCGCAAUGGGCGAAAGCCUGACGCAGCGACGCCGCGUGAGGGAUGAAGGUCUUCGGAUCGUAAACCUCUGUCAGCAGGGAAGAACGGUCACUGUGCUAAUCAGCAGUGAAUUGACGGUACCUGCAAAGGAAGCACCGGCUAACUCCGUGCCAGCAGCCGCGGUAAUACGGAGGAUGCGAGCGUUAUCCGGAUUUAUUGGGUUUAAAGGGUGCGUAGGCGGGCUUUUAAGUCAGCGGUAAAAAUUCGGGGCUCAAACCCGUCCGGCCGUUGAAACUGGGGGCAUUGAGUGGGCGAGAAGAAGGCGGAAUGCGUGGUGUAGCGGUGAAAUGCAUAGAUAUCAGGAGGAACACCGGUGGCGAAGGCGGCCUGCUGGACUGCAACUGACGUUGAGGCCCGAAAGCGUGGGGAGCAAACAGGAUUAGAUACCCGUGUAGUC
This 464-nucleotide ribosomal RNA is filed under the name uncultured bacterium. RNAcentral's name for it is "partial 16S ribosomal RNA". It matches the Rfam family "Bacterial small subunit ribosomal RNA", at positions 338 to 795 of the family's 1533-position model. The record is from RNAcentral.